Molecule: long non-coding RNA, 325 nt
Filed under: Rattus norvegicus (Norway rat)
Lineage: Eukaryota; Metazoa; Chordata; Mammalia; Rodentia; Muridae
Description: long non-coding RNA NONRATT031318
Source: RNAcentral
GAAAGAUCUCCCAUGCUCAUGGAUUGGCAGGAUUAAUUUAGUAAAAAUGGCCAUUUUACCAAAAGCAAUCUACAGAUUCAAUGCAAUCCCCAUCAAAAUACCAAUCCAAUUCUUCAAAGAGUUAGACAGAACAAUUUGCAAAUUCAUCUGGAAUAACAAAAAACCCAGGAUAGCUAAAGCUAUCCUCAACAAUAAAAGGACUUCAGGGGGAAUCACUAUCCCUGAACUCAAGCAGUAUUACAGAGCAAUAGUGAUAAAAACUGCAUGGUAUUGGUACAGAGACAGACAGAUAGACAAAUGGAAUAAAAUUGAAGACCCAGAAAUG